UAGGAUAGGUGGGAGGCUUUGAAGUGUGGACGCCAGUCUGCAUGGAGCCGACCUUGAAAUACCACCCUUUAAUGUUUGAUGUUCUAACGUGGACCCGUUACCCGGGUUGCGGACAGUGUCUGGUGGGUAGUUUGACUGGGGCGGUCUCCUCCUAAAGAGUAACGGAGGAGCACGAAGGUUGGCUAAUCCUGGUCGGACAUCAGGAGGUUAGUGCAAUGGCAUAAGCCAGCUUGACUGCGAGCGUGACGGCGCGAGCAGGUGCGAAAGCAGGUCAUAGUGAUCCGGUGGUUCUGAAUGGAAGGGCCAUCGCUCAACGGAUAAAAGGUACUCCGGGGAUAACAGGCUGAUACCGCCCAAGAGUUCAUAUCGACGGCGGUGUUUGGCACCUCGAUGUCGGCUCAUCACAUCCUGGGGCUGAAGUAGGUCCCAAGGGUAUGGCUGUUCGCCAUUUAAAGUGGUACGCGAGCUGGGUUUAGAACGUCGUGAGACAGUUCGGUCCCUAUCUGCCGUGGGCGCUGGAGAACUGAGGGGGGCUGCUCCUAGUACGAGAGGACCGGAGUGGACGCAUCACUGGUGUUCGGGUUGUCAUGCCAAUGGCACUGCCCGGUAGCUAAAUGCGGAAGAGAUAAGUGCUGAAAGCAUCUAAGCACGAAACUUGCCCCGAGAUGAGUUCUCCCUGAGACUUAGAGUCUCCUGAAGGAACGUUGAAGACGACGACGUUGAUAGGCCGGGUGUGUAAGCGCAGCGAUGCGUUGAGCUAACCGGUACUAAUGAACCGUGAGGCUUAACCUUACA
Molecule: ribosomal RNA, 795 nt
Filed under: Salmonella enterica
Lineage: Bacteria; Pseudomonadati; Pseudomonadota; Gammaproteobacteria; Enterobacterales; Enterobacteriaceae
Description: partial 23S ribosomal RNA
Rfam family: Bacterial large subunit ribosomal RNA
Source: RNAcentral